UAUAAAUAGUCCAUAACCAUUUGUUGAUGAUUUAUCAAGGUAAUAUGGCUACCCAGAUCAACCAUCUGUUUAUUUUCAUUGCAAUUGUGUGUAUCGUUUCCAUUUUCACUCAAGGCACAUGUAAAGUGGAUGGUAUAGCAGAAAGAACUAAUGAUUUUUCACCGCAAGACUGUGAGAAAGAUCCUACUAUAUGUCCAAAUCAUCCUCAAGAAUGUAAUAAGAGUUGUAUAAGGAAGGGCAUUCGUUACCAUAAUGGUUGUCAAGGAAAUCUAUGUUGCUGCGGAGCAUAACACAUCUAUGUCUACAAAUUAUGUACAAAUAUUAUCUUUAUGGAUAUGGCUACCAUUCAAAUUAAAUAAAAAUAAUACUUUUAUUUUAGUA
Long non-coding RNA from Vicia villosa (hairy vetch), 381 nucleotides. RefSeq lists it as uncharacterized. The transcript is spliced from 2 exons. The record is from RefSeq and is a predicted model, not a curated record. NCBI's taxonomy places the organism in Eukaryota, Viridiplantae, Streptophyta, Magnoliopsida, Fabales, Fabaceae.